CCCGGGAAACUGGGUCUAAUACCGGAUAUGACCACUCCAGGCAUCUGGUGGUGGUGGAAAGUUUUUCGGUUGGGGAUGGGCUCGCGGCCUAUCAGCUUGUUGGUGGGGUGAUGGCCUACCAAGGCGACGACGGGUAACCGGCCUGAGAGGGCGACCGGUCACACUGGGACUGAGACACGGCCCAGACUCCUACGGGAGGCAGCAGUGGGGAAUAUUGCGCAAUGGGCGGAAGCCUGACGCAGCGACGCCGCGUGGGGGAUGACGGCCUUCGGGUUGUAAACCCCUUUCAGCAGGGACGAAGCUAACGUGACGGUACCUGCAGAAGAAGCGCCGGCUAACUACGUGCCAGCAGCCGCGGUAAUACGUAGGGCGCAAGCGUUGUCCGGAAUUAUUGGGCGUAAAGAGCUCGUAGGCGGUUUGUCGCGUCUGUCGUGAAAGCCCACGGCUUAACCGUGGGUCUGCGGUGGAUACGGGCAGACUAGAGGCAGGUAGGGGAGAAUGGAAUUCCCGGUGUAGCGGUGAAAUGCGCAGAUAUCGGGAGGAACACCGGUGGCGAAGGCGGUUCUCUGGGCCUGUACUGACGCUGAGGAGCGAAAGCGUGGGAGCGAACAGGAUUAGAUACCCUGGUAGUCCACGCCGUAAACGUUGGGCGCUAGGUGUGGGGUUCUUCCACGGAUUCCGCGCCGUAGCUAACGCAUUAAGCGCCCCGCCUGGGGAGUACGGCCGCAAGGCUAAAACUCAAAGGAAUUGACGGGGGGCCCGCACAAGCGGCGGAGCAUGUUGCUUAAUUCGACGCAACGCGAAGAACCUUACCAAGGCUUGACAUCGCCGGAAAUCCCGCAGAGAUGCGGGGUCCUUUUUGGGCCGGUGACAGGUGGUGCAUGGCUGUCGUCAGCUCGUGUCGUGAGAUGUUGGGUUAAGUCCCGCAACGAGCGCAACCCUCGUUCCAUGUUGCCAGCACGUAGUGGUGGGGACUCAUGGGAGACCGCCGGGGUCAACUCGGAGGAAGGUGGGGAUGACGUCAAGUCAUCAUGCCCCUUAUGUCUUGGGCUGCAAACAUGCUACAAUGGCCGGUACAGAGGGCUGCGAUACCGUGAGGUGGAGCGAAUCCCUUAAAGCCGGUCUCAGUUCGGAUCGAAGUCUGCAACUCGACUUCGUGAAGUCGGAGUCGCUAGUAAUCGCAGAUCAGCAACGCUGCGGUGAAUACGUUCCCGG
This 1215-nucleotide ribosomal RNA is filed under the name Actinomadura sp. RNAcentral's name for it is "bacterial SSU rRNA". It matches the Rfam family "Bacterial small subunit ribosomal RNA", at positions 148 to 1377 of the family's 1533-position model. The record is from RNAcentral. Lineage: Bacteria; Bacillati; Actinomycetota; Actinomycetes; Streptosporangiales; Thermomonosporaceae.